UGAAAUGGUUUCAUCAGCCAAGUUCUGACAGCAAAUGCGUCAUUGGCUACAAAAUGAUUAUCUUAUAUAGCGUGGCAUCAAGUGGGACAAAGCAUGGUGUUCAGCGGGACAAAGCAGGUCGGACUGGCACGCCGAACUGUGCGGACUGCAGGGCUCAAAUUCGUGCAAGUGUCAAGGUGGCUUAAGGGUAGGCAAUUAUUUUCAAUAGCUAGUAGAGUGACAGAUUCAUUAAGUAGUUGCAGAAGAAAUGGGUUGAAAAAGGAUGAAGUCACUUUUGCUAGACCGGUCAUUCUUUCUUGAACAGUACUCUCUUCCUCCUAGGAAAGCAUCAGGAUGGAGUAUGUUUGGAAUGUCAACAGCCAGAGACAGUGCAGCAUGUCCUCAUGCACUGUAAUAAAUAAGAACAGGCCUGAAAGAAGUUUCUGUAGGAAGCAUUUUAGACAUAGGGUCAAUUGGUAGGGGGAAAUGUUGGCUUUUUAAAUACUUU
This is a long non-coding RNA of Thalassophryne amazonica, 487 nucleotides long. RefSeq lists it as uncharacterized. NCBI's taxonomy places the organism in Eukaryota, Metazoa, Chordata, Actinopteri, Batrachoidiformes, Batrachoididae. The transcript is spliced from 2 exons. The record is from RefSeq and is a predicted model, not a curated record.